GAUGAAGAACUCAGCGAAAUGCGAUAAGUAAUGUGAAUUGCAGAAUUCAGUGAAUCAUCGAAUCUUUGAACGCACAUUGCGCCCGCCAGUAUUCUGGCGGGCAUGCCUGUCUGAGCGUCAUUUCAACCCUCAUGCCCCUAGGGCGUGGUGUUGGGGAUCGGCCAAAGCCCGCGAGGGACGGCCGGCCCCUAAAUCUAGUGGCGGACCCGUCGUGGCCUCCUCUGCGAAGUAGUGAUAUUCCGCAUCGGAGAGCGACGAGCCCCUGCCGUUAAACCCCCAACUUUCCAAGGUUGACCUCAGAUCAGGUAGGAAUACCCGCUGAACUUAAGCAUAUCAAUAAGCGGAGGA
RNAcentral lists this unclassified non-coding RNA (348 nucleotides) under soil metagenome. Its description in RNAcentral is "partial contains 5.8S ribosomal RNA, internal transcribed spacer 2, and large subunit ribosomal RNA". The stretch from base 1 to 120 matches the Rfam family "5.8S ribosomal RNA", at positions 35 to 154 of the family's 154-position model. The record is from RNAcentral.